RNAcentral lists this ribosomal RNA (322 nucleotides) under Sinorogomphus sp. JLW-2007. Its description in RNAcentral is "eukaryotic LSU rRNA". It matches the Rfam family "Eukaryotic large subunit ribosomal RNA", at positions 667 to 940 of the family's 3401-position model. Lineage: Eukaryota; Metazoa; Arthropoda; Insecta; Odonata; Chlorogomphidae. The record is from RNAcentral.
CAAGGAGUCUAACAUGCGCGCGAGUCGUUGGGUCGGACACGCUCCGCUAAACCCAUAGGCAAAAUGAAAGUGAAGGCUACCUUUUUGGGGCCGAGGGAGGACGGAGUUGGUCCCCUCACGGGGAUGGCUCCUGCACUCCCGGGGCGUCUGAUUCCUCAUCGCGAGGGAAGGCGCACCAAGAGCGCACACGUUGGGACCCGAAAGAUGGUGAACUAUGCCUGGCCAGGACGAAGUCAGGGGAAACCCUGAUGGAGGUCCGUAGCGAUUCUGACGUGCAAAUCGAUCGUCGGAGCUGGGUAUAGGGGCGAAAGACUAAUCGAAC